Molecule: long non-coding RNA, 1224 nt
Organism: Malaclemys terrapin pileata
Lineage: Eukaryota; Metazoa; Chordata; Testudines; Emydidae
Exons: 4
Source: RefSeq, a predicted model, not a curated record
AUGUAUUUUUAUUAACCAAAUACAAAUAUUUUUAAAAGAGCACUCCCCUCUUAAAUUCCCUCAGAUAUGAAUGUCUUUCCAUGGGUAGCUUUGAUGCAAUUACAAUAUUCAUUUAUUUGGUUUCAGUAGCAUCUGAUCUCUGAAGAGCGUGCACGUCAUUUCUUGCUUGAAGGACAAGGGAAAGUCGGUAGGUGUCCUCAGAGCAAGCUCAGAGCAGCAGAACCUGUACUUUUGAGAGUAGAGACAACAUACAUCAAAGUUCUGUCUGGGAGCUUGUUGCAGAUGAUGAGACAGCUCUUUGUUGGGGGUAUAACAGAGCUCUUCACUGAAGCCACAGCAGCAGAGCUGAGUGAACUCUGGGUGGAAGUUGAAGGACACUCUCCCUAAACAGGUGUCUGAUUACAUGAACAAGCAGUGUAACCCAGCUGCAUUAAUAACCCACACUUUGCCUCAAUGAAGGAUUCGAACUGCUGUGAGCAGGGAAAAGUAUUUGCAGCAUCCUGUUGUUUUAAGCCCCUGAGCGAUGAGGAGUGGGGUGUGAGCAGCACAGCGCUUCUCCUCCAGAAUCACCUGUCUGACUCCUUCCCCUUAGUCAAAACUUUUAUUAGUGUGUUGAUUUUACAAUCUUUGCUUCUAGAGCUGUGUAAAUUGGGCUUCUCUGAACCUGGAAACAUCUGAAUAGAUUGAGGAAUCAUUUUUGUUUUGGAUUAAGAAUUCAAACCUCCGUCCAUAGCUUCGAGGUGUGUGAAAGAGAGCAGAGCAUGUCGGAAGGUGGUUAUCCUGAUGGAUCUGCUUCCAAGUUAUUCGGAAUUAAACGAAAUUAACCAUUCCAUCAAGUAAUUACAAUAGCUCUCGUGGAACCUCUCCCAGUAUGUUCCUCAGGUCCAUUGUCUGCUGCCUUGCAGUUGCUUUUUAAUCAAGGCUCCUCUGCCUCUUCCUGGACUCCACAAUUUGGUCAAGAGCAAGUACCAACCAAUCUGCAACCGACGGCACAUAACUUGAGUGUGAUACACAGAGGGCUUCUACUGAAACAAAGAUGUAAUCUGAGAAGGCAUUUAUCAGGUGGAAAGAGGAACACUUUUGUUAGCAUGGAUUUCCCAUUCAAACUGAAUAAUGACCUUCUGUUACUGUAACAUUUCAUUAAAUGCAGGAAACUGGUUUUCCAAUUGCUUCUUGCUUUUCAUGUUCUCUUGUGAUCCUUACUGCAAAGUUUGUGUAAAUGUA